Saccostrea cuccullata (small rock oyster) is the source of this 777-nucleotide long non-coding RNA. RefSeq lists it as uncharacterized. NCBI's taxonomy places the organism in Eukaryota, Metazoa, Mollusca, Bivalvia, Ostreida, Ostreidae. The transcript has 5 exons. The record is from RefSeq and is a predicted model, not a curated record.
UUAAGAUGUGAUUUGACUAAUUUUUCUGAUUUAUUUUGUUUUUAGCACUGUAGAGGACUUUCAUCUUUCAGCUUCCUCGGCCCCGGGAGAGUUGGGUACCUGCUCAGCGGGGGCAUUUUCUCUAUACAAGAAGAAGACGGAGACUCGCUACCCACCCGAUAUAUUUUGUCGGACAGUUUUCUAUACAUAGCAGUCACAACUGUAUCCAGAUCACAUCAAAGGAAUGACAGUUUCUCACUCCCUGGAAUUCUACUUAAUGGAGGGAGGUGUCAUUAAUUAAGAUUGUCACAGCUUCCAAGACACUGGAGUGACAGGCCUAAAAUUUUAUACAUAUUCAUUGCACUGUAGAGGACUUUCAUCUUUCAGCUUCCUCGGCCCCGGGAGAGUUGGGUACCUGCUCAGCGGGGGCAUUUUCUCUAUACAAGAAGAAGACGGAGACUCGCUACCCACCCGAUAUAUUUUGUCGGACAGUUUUCUAUACAUAGCAGUCACAACUGUAUCCAGAUCACAUCAAAGGAAUGACAGUUUCUCACUCCCUGGAAUUCUACUGAAUGGAGGGAGGUGUCAUUAAUUAAGAUUGUCACAGCUUCCAAGACACUGGAGUGACAGGCCUAAAAUUUUAUACAUAUUCAUUGCACUGUAGAGGACUUUCAUCUUUCAGCUUCCUCGGCCCCGGGAGAGUUGGGUACCUGCUCAGCGGGGGCAUUUUCUCUAUACAAGAAGAAGACGGAGACUCGCUACCCACCCGAUAUAUUUUGUCGGACAGUUUUCUAUACA